CAUUUGAGAGCGCCCUCUGGCGGUAUCCUCCAGGUGUUUACAAAAACAGUGAUUACAUCAGAACGCUAUUUCAAAGAUGGCGGAACGCCUGCUGCCGUUCACAUGCAGGUCUGCAACAGCUCCAACUCGGCAGAAACAGGGAGUGUAGGCCCGUUCCCAUGCAGGCGUCGAAGUCCGGUCGUCUCCGAGCAGCGGUCAAAGUAAAACUAUGGAGGUGGGAGCAGAAACAUCCUAAAGGGGGCAUAAGGAGAGCAAGCAGGAGAAGGAAGGUCAGGGGUCAUCCCAGGUCCAACCCAUGGGGAGAGCUGCAGGAUCCGGCCGGGUUAGAAGGACAAGUGUUCGGACCCC
Molecule: long non-coding RNA, 348 nt
Organism: Oryzias melastigma (Indian medaka)
Lineage: Eukaryota; Metazoa; Chordata; Actinopteri; Beloniformes; Adrianichthyidae
Exons: 3
Source: RefSeq, a predicted model, not a curated record